GGAAAGUUGCCCGAAUUGGUAAAGGGGAUGACCUGCUAAGCCAUUGUUGCUAUCAGCGACGCAUGAGUUCGAACCUCAUACUUUCCGCCA
RNAcentral lists this transfer RNA (90 nucleotides) under Acinetobacter nosocomialis. Its description in RNAcentral is "tRNA-Ser". It matches the Rfam family "tRNA". Rfam says of the family: Transfer RNA (tRNA) molecules are approximately 80 nucleotides in length. Their secondary structure includes four short double-helical elements and three loops (D, anti-codon, and T loops). The record is from RNAcentral. Lineage: Bacteria; Pseudomonadati; Pseudomonadota; Gammaproteobacteria; Moraxellales; Moraxellaceae.